UGCCCUCUCGUCUAGCGGCAGGACGCCUGAUUCUGACUCAGGUAAGCGUGGUUCGAAUCCACGGAGGGCAGCCA
RNAcentral lists this transfer RNA (74 nucleotides) under Paenirhodobacter ferrireducens. RNAcentral's name for it is "Sinirhodobacter ferrireducens tRNA-Gln". It matches the Rfam family "tRNA". Rfam says of the family: Transfer RNA (tRNA) molecules are approximately 80 nucleotides in length. Their secondary structure includes four short double-helical elements and three loops (D, anti-codon, and T loops). RNAcentral also lists the same sequence under 5 other names. Lineage: Bacteria; Pseudomonadati; Pseudomonadota; Alphaproteobacteria; Rhodobacterales. The record is from RNAcentral.